This is a non-coding RNA of Nicotiana tabacum (common tobacco), 1680 nucleotides long. Lineage: Eukaryota; Viridiplantae; Streptophyta; Magnoliopsida; Solanales; Solanaceae. The record is from RefSeq and is a predicted model, not a curated record.
CCCAGGAACCGUCUUGAAUUUGAUCUUAUCUGUCAAUCCACUACGUUUCAAUCCCAAAUUUGUUAAAAUCAGUUAUAGGAAUCUUCUAAAUCCAUUCUGCUCUAUUUGAGUUUAUUUUAUUUCCAUACUAGUUGUCUUUUAAGUCAAUUAGGGGUUUUCCCAAAUCAGGUUUUUUUAUAUAACACUUGUCCGAACGGCUAACACUGGUGUACGAAGCUCUAGCCAGACUACAAAGAUUUUCGGCAGAUCGCUGGACCUAAGGUGUUUUGUGAUGAUUCAGGCUUUGGAACUUUGAGUAAAUUUGCUUUUGUAUGGAGACACUUGUCGAUUUUGUGCAAUGGCUUGAAAUUGACGUAUCUCUGAACAUUCUGAUGCGUUUGAAUGAUCCAGCUGAUGUGGUCCGUGCUGGCUCUGUUUCACACCUUUGGCUCCAAUUUGUGGUUGCUAAUGGACUUUCCAAGCAACUGUGUCUGAGAAAGUUUCCGCAGCUUUCUAGAAUUUCACGUAUAAGAGAACCAGAUUUGGGAAUUGCAGAAGGAAAAGAUGUAAAAUUUAGCAAUUCCACUUGGGAGACUCUAAAAAGAGACCAUAAUGUUUAUGCUUCUCUACUUCAAGCUAUUGAAACAUCAAACUCAUGCCCAAGUGAUUGCAUAGAUUAUGAAGUCAGCGCUUCAAGUACGGACGAUUAUCCAGUAAGUGUUUGGAAUACUCUGGUUCCAACAGAUAGAAACCAAGAUCAACCUUCAUACUGGUCAAGCACAGGGGACAGUGAUCCCAAUGCCCCGGAGACGCUAAUUUACAAAUUGAAAGCUGAUCUUUGCGUCAUCACUGAAAUUAAUAUACAACCUUUGGAAGUGUAUUCCCAUCCAGGCAGGGCCAUAUGCUGCCCAAAAUCUGUUCGAUUUCGAUUAGGACACCCCAAAUCCUCAAGAGAUAAGAGGCGUCUCCUGCACUGGCACCCUGAUCAACCUGCUGAUGACAAGUUUAUAUGGACUUAUACCUCGGAAGAAUUCCUUAUGAGACAGGUGCGGUUAUUAACUUUACUUUUUCCCAAACGCAGACGAUCUUAUUUACUAGAAAUUGUCUUUCUUUUUGUUGGUGGAGUAAUCUCCACUGGUGGAGGCACGAAUAAGCUUGUUCUCAAGGCGCAAAGUCUUGUCCUAAGUAGGUGGAAUAGUUCUCCGCUGAUGGGGAGCACUAGUAGGCAUUACUCUGGCCAAGGUUUCUGAAUCUUGUCAUAAGUAAAAGGAAACCCGGUUGCAGCAGUUCAAGCUACCAGAACCGGUGCUUUGUAUUGGUGGAUAUCUUCAAAUUGAACUGUUGGGCAGAGCUCUGAGAUGUGAUAUUGACGACUUGUUUAUCGACGGCUUGUUUUACAUAUGCAUUCGUCAUGUGAAAGUUAGAGGGCGGCCAUUCACUCCUGCCUUAGACGCACAUAUCAUUCGACCGUCUGGAGACUUUGUGCUCGAGUACAACAGAGAUAAUGUUUUCUAAAAAAUAAUCUAUGUCUUCAGGACUCAAGUGUACCUCCAACAACAUUAGAAGAAGUACAUGCUGCUCUAUUGAAGUAUUUAUUAGAGGAUUGAUUACCUGCCGGUUUUGAACAAUGACGAUUAUUAAAUCGAUUAAACUGAAAUUUUGAAACUUUACGUUAUGAUUUUCUUUCGUUUAAGUUUUCUA